UACGUAGGCAGCAAGCGUUGUUCGGAGUUACUGGGCGUAAAGGGUGCGUAGGCGGCCUUAUAAGUAUGGUGUGAAAUCUCCCGGCUUAACUGGGAGGGUGCGCUAUAGACUGUGGGGCUAGAGUGUGGGAGAGGAAAGUGGAAUUCCUGGUGUAGCGGUGAAAUGCGUAGAUAUCAGGAGGAACACCGGUGGUGUAAACGGCUUUCUGGACCAUAACUGACGCUGAGGCACGAAAGCGUGGGGAGCAAGACGG
Molecule: ribosomal RNA, 253 nt
Filed under: uncultured bacterium
Lineage: Bacteria
Description: partial 16S ribosomal RNA
Rfam family: Bacterial small subunit ribosomal RNA
Source: RNAcentral